GACAGAGGGUGCGAACGUUGUUCGGAAUUACUGGGCGUAAAGCGCAUGUAGGCGGCAGCGCAGUCGGGCGAUGGAAAUCCCACGGCCUCAACCGUGGAAGUGCGACGUCGAAACUGCGCAGGCUAGAGUCCUGGAGAGGAAGGUGGAAUGCUUGGUGUAGAGGUGAAAUUCGUAGAUAUCAGGAGGAACACCGCGGUGUAGACGGCUUCUGGACCGUAGCUGACGCUGGAGACACGAAAGCGUGGGUAGCAAACAGG
RNAcentral lists this ribosomal RNA (257 nucleotides) under uncultured bacterium. RNAcentral describes it as "partial 16S ribosomal RNA". It matches the Rfam family "Bacterial small subunit ribosomal RNA", at positions 524 to 776 of the family's 1533-position model. The record is from RNAcentral.